AAAUUGAAAACAGAACUAAAAAACUCAUGUUUCAUUGGGUAUAAUAUAUUGCAUAAAAUUAAAGAGGGUAGGGGUAGAUACUAUAGUUAAACAAUCACCAUCGCCAUGACCAUUGUUGGUUUAGAUUAAUCACAUCACAUAAUAUUGCAACUGGAAGUGUUCUCAUCACUGAAAGCAUGUGAGUAAGGAUCUGGAGGAGGAUAAGGGUAAGGAGGAUAUAUGUAAUUCACCGCAGGAGGUGGCCUUGCGUACAUCAUUGGCUGCUGAAAUCUUUGAUCAUUUUCCACCAUUGCAGCACGUUGUUGAUUCAUCAUUGCAGCAGCCAUUAAUUGUUGCUGUUGUUGUUGCUGCUGAUGUUGCUGUUGUUGUUGUUGAUAAGGAUUGCCCGACAUCAUUUCCGCGCCUGGACCACCACCACCUUGAAAGUAUCCUCCGCCAGCCGGUAGACCUUGAACAGCAGGAAUGUUACCACCCAUUUGGUUCAUUGGCAUACUCAUUGGUCCCACAUUAUUACCUCCACCAUCCAUAGCAGGGUGAGGAUGACCACCUCCGCCACCCAUCAUUUUUUGAAAUCCAUUGUUCAUAGCUUGAACAUUACCACCACCACCAGCAACUGGUAUCGACAUACCCUUUUUACCCCCAUUGUUAUUUUGAUUAUUACUAUUAUGAUUCCCUCCAUUCUUGUUUCCUCCACCACCACCAUUUUUAGCCUCCUGCAAACCACCACUAUUUUUGUUACCUCCACCAUGAUUCUGAUUAUUUCCUCCACCACCACCGCCACCUUUCUUUCCUCCAUUGCCAUUUCCGCCAUUCAUUUGAACCGGCACAGGUCCACCACCGCCACUUUUCUUUCCUCCAUUGCCAUUUCCACCAUUCAUGCCAUGAAUUUGAACCGGAACAGGUCCUCCACCACCAGGUUUCUGCCCGUUUCCGCCACCACCGCCGCCGUUAAAAUUGCCACCCUUCAUAGCAGUCAAAAGCUGUGGAUGAUUACCAUUCAACAUCAUGUGAGCACCAUUCCCCAUAGGCAUAGAAGGGGGUUUCAUCUUAUUAGGUGGCAACCCAACCAUUUCAUCAUCAAACUCAUCAUCAAAAUCUUCAUCAUCAUCUUCGUCGUCAUCAAAAUCAUCCAUUUCAUCAUCACUAAAAUCAUCCUCAUCUUCAGGCACAUCAAAUUUAACACCUUUAGCAUUCUGAUUCGGCGGCAUCUUCAUGCCUUUAAAUUGUGCUAGAUCUUGAAACCCUUUCAUCUGUUGAAGUUGUUGUAACUGUUGUUGAAGCUGAAGUUGCUGCUGCUGCUGAGGAUUUAGUCCUUGUAGUUGUAUUUGUUGACCACCUUUGGGCUGGUUAUUGUUUCCACUACCCUUCUGGUUUUGAUUCUGACCCUUGUUGUUGUUAUUUCCACCACCUUUGCCAUUAUCAAUUUGCAUGUUCUUUAACUGAUUAACAAGGUUGUUCUGAUUAUUAUUGUUGUUGUUGUUUGGUUUGGGAACACUCCAUAACUGAGCAUGUUUCCCAGAUUUUGCAAGCUUCUUGAUGAGAACAUUUGGGUCCACAUUCCCUGAAACUGUGACCUUCCCUUGUUCUGCAUCUAUCUCAGUUGUAAAUACUCCUGUCAUUACAAAACCCAUAUUCAACAUUUACUCUCAAAAUUAAGGCACUGUUUUGGAUAGUAAUAGUAAUAAUUGAAAGCUAUAAUUAAGGUUCUGUAAAUAAAUCACAAUAAUAUUAAGUGCAUACAAACAUACCAUCAAUUUUCUGUAAGAUUUUCUUUACUUUAUGUUUACAUCCAUCACAGUGUAUGUUCACUUUUAGAACAGAUUUCUGCAUAUAUACACAGAAAAUUAGGAUAAGUAAUAAAUAAUAUAUGAGACAAAACAAAAUUUAGAAAUGUACAAAACAUAAAAGCAAAAAAAAAAUAAAGAAAGAUGGAGAAUGUGAUGGGAGUGAGUACCUGUAUCUUCAAAAAUUCUUCUUUACUCAUGACCAAUAGGAAUAAAGUUUGUAACUUGUGAUAAAUAAAGAUCUGGGCUAUAGAGAAAAAUGGUGAUUAUAGAUCUGAGGAAACGAAAGGAAAAUGGAGUUUUUUUUCUUUCUUGUUUGGUGUAGUUUUAUUUGGUUUUAGAAUGGAAAUGAAAUGAAAAUAGAAGCAAAAUGAGAGAAAUAAAUGGUUUAGAAGAGUCUCUGAGAAGAGACAGGAAAUAUAACAAGCAAGUUUCAGAGUUGGGAAGAGAGAGAAUGGUGAGUAGUACUUGUAGUCAUUGAGAGAGAAUGGGGUAAUGUUGAUAGAGACAGAGAUAACCCCGAGUGUGUUUAGUGAGAGAGAACAGAGUAAGAGAGAGAGACCGAGAAUGACGCCGGUGGCCGCCGUCGCCGGUGAGAUCUCAGAGAGAGAGAGAGAGAGAGAGAGAGAGAGAGAGGGACGGAGUGAAUGAGAAAUACAGGAAAGGUAAAAACGGAAGAAGAAAAAAAGAGCGAGGGGGCAUACAGCAGUUUCUAUACGAGUGUGUGGCUUAUGAGAAAAACAACAUGAAAAAAUGUAAAGAAUUAACAACAAAAAAAAAUAGAAAUAAUAAUUUGUAUUAAGAACCAUAUCUAUCUAUAGUUGAUUAACAAUAAAAAAAAAUAUCCCUGUGAAUUUAGCUCAAUUAGCAGAAUAUUGUAUAAUUUAUGGAAAAAACAAUAAAAAAAAAUGGAUUUACAAAAGAAGAGAUGUUGAUAAGUAGCUUAUGAGAAAUAUGGAGCAAAAAUUAUUGUUUUAGUUUAGGUUUAAACACUUUUAGAAAAAGAUUUAAGAAUAAUGGUAAAAGAGAUUACAAUUUACAAUUAAUAUAUAUGGAGUAGAUGGUAAAUGAGUAUUUUUGUCGGGUGUCAACUUAGUUGAGACGUUAUGGCCGUUAAUUUACAUCUAUUUAAAAACACGUGUCAAUUAGCAAGUUACAUUCAGCUAAAAUCAUUAAAGUGUAAGUUAGAAAUCUAUCCUCAUUUAAUUAUUUACAUUUAUUUUUAUAAUUAUAUAGGCUCAAACACAAAUUCAUAAAUGUGAGUAUUUUAUUUUGUCAAUUAUGUGUAUUAUUACAGGUGCACAACGGAGCUGAGUCUAAUUAUCAUCAUUAUAUUAUGAUUUUUUUUUUGUUAAAUAAUCUGAUGGUUAGAGCUCACAUUUUAAAUUUAUUUAUUGGUGUAUUUUAUAACGGAAAUAACUUCAUUGUGUAUAAUUUUUUAGUGUAACUUCUCAACAAUUUAGCCGUGGCCAUGUGACUUCAUUUGGCUUAGCUAAGAAUCCACGUUAAUUUAACCCUAUUUUCCUUCUCUUGUUCUAUUUUUGUUGUCUUAGCUUGACUUGAAGACCGUGAGGUGGGAAUGCUAAAAAAUCAUCAUAAAUCACAAUGAUACAAGAGUGGAGAGAGAAUGUGUGAGAAGAAGUGCUAGUAGUACAUGUGAGAUUUAUUUUCUUCAAAGUUCUAGUAAUUAUUACGACCAGUGAAGUAAGAAUGAAGUAUAGUAUGACUGACUCAAUAAAAAGAAGAUAGACUCAAUGAGUUCAGUUACUUUAGUUUAAGGAAAUGUUAAUAAAUGUUUCAAAAAUGGCGAGUUUUAGCAUGGGUUAAUUGUCAAAUUGCUCCAUAUUAGAUCAAUUUUGUUUUAUUUAUUAUUAGUUGUCCACCUUGCAUUUUUAUAUUUUAAUUUAUAGUCAUAUUUAUUUAUAAUAUAUCAAUUUUAAUUUAAUUUAAUGGGGACUAAAAUAUUUUGAAAGGACAAAAAGAUGUCACUUUUUAUAAGAAUUAAAAACAAAAUUUGUUAUAUUUACAGGGACAAAAAAUUUUAGUCCCCAUUAAAUUAAAAUUAAAGCUACAUGCUAAAAAAAUUUAGAGGGACAAAAACAUGUCACUUUUUUAUAAGAACUAAAAACAAAAUUCGUUAUAUUUAUAAGGAGCAAAAAUAUAUUUAAUCCUAAUUAAUAUUAAAAAGUUUUAUGGAAGGGAUUAAUAUUACAAAGUUAGAUACAAAAUAAAUUUAUUUAUUUAUAAAUAAUGUAGUAAAUAUAUAUUUACGUCAUAUUUUUUUAGCCCAGAUUUAAACAUGUCUAUGUUUUCUAAAUAAUGUAGUAAAUAUAUAUUUACGUCAUUUUUUUUUAGCCCAGAUUUAAACAUGUCUAUGUUUUCUAAAUAAUGUAGUAAAUAUAUAUUUACGUCAUUUUUUUUUACCCAUAUUUAAACAUGUCUACGUUUUCAAAUUAAAAAAAUUAUUGAGAAUGAGCUAGACCUUUUAGAUUUUUAAACGGGGGAUUAAAAAAUAAUGUAUCUAUAAUUCCUGUGAGCAUAGCUCAGUUGGCAAGGGACAUGCACUAUUAUGUAGGAGCCGGGGUUCAAACCCCAGACACUCCACUUAUUCACCUUGAAAAAUCUUAAUUCUAGUCAGUAGGCAACCUGACAAAAAAAAUCAAAAAUAAUGUAAUUACAAGUAAUUUUUUAUUUUUUUUUAGUCAAGUACAAGUAAAUUAAUUUGAAUCAAAUUAUAAUUGAGUAGGGCUAUAAAUUGGAAUAUAAAAUGCAGGGUGUACAUAUAAUAGCAAAUAAAAUAAAAUUGAUCUAAGAUGGAGCAGUUUCACAAUUGCCCCAUGCUAAAACUCGCCUUCAAAAAUAUUGUUUAAACAAUUUUAUUGGUGUACUUUUAUAUAUCUUUAUCGUAUAUUUAUGUUUGAACUUUCAAUACCUUUAAAUAAAAGUGGUUUUUUUUUUUUACAAAAUUAAAUAUAAGUGAGUUAAACAAUAAGUUUAAAUAUUAAACGUUACUUGGUAAACUUGUGUGGGAUAUCUUUGAACCCAAUAAUCAUUUAUGGUCUCAAAUUCUUUCAGCAAGGUAUCUUGAGGGAUCUAAUAUUUUCCUUACGGGAAAUAGCAAGGGCUCUCCUAUUUGGAAUGUCAUUGUUAAAAGAGUUAAAAUUUUGGAGGAUGGAUUUCAUUUCAAAAUUGGAAAUGGUACCACUAGUAUGCGGUACGAACCUUGGUUGCUAAAAGAUCAUGUAUGUCAUCUUGUGUCAUUUGUUCAAAUACAAGAUAUUGAUCUUCAAAUUCGAGAUAUUAUUAUCACGGAUAGAGGUAACCUACAAAAUGUUUAUACCAUGAUGCCUCAAGAUGUUAGAAGUAAGAUUUUGGAAAUGAUGACUCAUCUAGUGGAUGAUGUCACUGAUAACUGGAUUUGAAAUAACUGCAUCGUUGGUGCCUAUACGGCAAAAUCUGCAUAUAGUUGGUUGAAUGAUGAAGAGACAGUUCCUCUCUUACCUAGAGAUUCUUGGAAUUGGGUAUGGAAACUUAAAAUCCCAACCAACAUCCAAUUCUUCCUUUGGCAAGUGAUGCAUCUUGCGAUCCCAACACGAACUAUAUUGAAUCAUCGAGGUAUCCCAUUAGACUCCAUUUAUCCUAUUUAUGAUAAUGAACCUUAGACCUUAAUUCAUUGUUUGUUUAAUUGCAACCGAGCAAAAACUAUAUGGAACUUGAUGGUGGGUCCUAGUUUCGAUUUACCUGAGGAGGAUAGCUCGAUAUUCAUGUGGUCCCAUGAUAGUGUUGACAAGCUUGGCAUUGUGAUUCCUAUUACCAUGUGGAGUAUUUGGUGUGCUAGAAAUGCAAAGGUUUUUGAUGAUAUAAGCAUGCCUCUAAUGGCUUCUUUGUCAAAGGUCGAGGUUAUGACUCAUGAUGUUACUCAAGCUUUCAGCAGUAUGCAUAAGGAGAUUACUCGCAUUCAGCCUCAAUUUAUUUCUUAGCAAAAAAGCCAUCCUGACUCAUAUAUUCUUAAUGUGGAUGGUAGUGCUCAAACCAACCCGGGGAUGACAGGAUUCAGUGGCUUAAUUAGAGACUUCGAUGGACAAUUUAUGCGUGGCUCCAUGGUAAUAUUGGCUAUUCAAAUAUUCUUCAUGCCGAAAUCUUGACAUUAAUGCAUGGGAUUCAAAUUUGUUGGGAUGAAGGUCUCGGAAACAUUAUUUGUUACACUGAUUUCGUGCAUACUAUUCACCUAGUGCAGUAUGCUGAGGUUUCCACUCACCACUAUGAAAAUGAGAUAGCUAUUAUUGUAAAGUACAUGGUUAAAUAUUGGACUUUUCAACUAUGUCACACUCUCAGGGAGAGUAAUAUGUGUGCUGACUUCUUAGCAAAGCUUGGAACAAGGUCUACGAGUGAUCUAUUGAUUGUGUUUAACCCGUCAGCUGAGCUUCGUUUAUUGUUUACGGCAGACAAUAUGGGUGUUGCUUAUCAUCGCGGCCGGUAGUCUCUUUUUUGUUUUAUUUUUGCUUUGACUUUUUCUCAUGUAACCAAAAAAAAAAAAUUCAAUUUUAGAAUAAAAAACUUUAAAAUUUCAAACUGCAAAUUAAAUCAAUUUUAAAACCAAAAUCAACUAUACUUUGAAGACAACCAAACAUAUCAUGAUUGAUUGUACACCUUAAGAAUCGAUUUUGUACGCUCUAUAAGUGAAAUCAAACUAAACAAAAUCAAUAACAUCUAUUGAGGGAGCAGCUGACUUGUAAAUUUCUUAAUUUGGAACUGCUUUUUGGUACAUUGACAUCAGCUUUCUCUGGUAGUUGAAUUUACUUUACUUCACCAUUUGUGCUUGAGGCUUGAGCGAUGCCAGGAAAUUUAGCUGCAUCUAUCAAACCCAGAAACUUUCUCAUUUUUACGAUCCUUCUUUUCUGGCAUUUUCAUCUUCUAUUAAAUGAGGUAAACAUAAUGGUCCCCAAUUGAAUAAUGAGAUUGAAUUUUCCUUCUUCAUUUCGAAAGAAAAUAAUUUUUAUUCAUAAAAAGAUAACAAAUAGUAUUUCUUUUAUAGGAAAACUGAUAUUUAUUGAUUUUACUAGUAGAUGAAUCAUUCAUUUAUUGUCGGUGCAAUCCAUUAUUAAAUUUACCUAACAAUGAGUCUUCUAUUUUUGGAAAACACCAGAAAUGCAUUACUACAAAACAUGAGAAGAAGGGCUGCCUGGUCUUAUUCUUAUCUGGGAUACUAUCACACAUUUUUUUCAAUUCCAGCUUGGGAAAUAAGCCAAACACAAAUAAAUAACAUACUAUAGUAGUUUGGUGACGCACAUAUGGUCAUAGAAUUAAUGGUAAUUAUAUAUUGGACAUUUAUUUAAUUAAAAAUUAUAACUCUAAUUCUCUGACAUUUUAAAAUAAAUUGGGUGGAUAAAUAUAUGGAACCAACCAUUUGUUAAAAAAAACAUAUAUGAAAUCAACCAAUCGAUUCCUUCUUGAAAUUCUUUUUGUACUACUGAGCAUUUUUUACAUCCCCACUUCAUACAACCUAUGUUACCCAAAAUAAAUUACUUGUUUUUAUUGUGCUCAAUUAGCAUGUACAUCAACGAAGAGUUAAGCAUGCUGUGUACUAGUGUGAAUCACGCUCCAAAGUCAAACAAGAAUCAAUUCAAAAAGGGUAGUUUCAUUAAUAACAAAAAUAUAUGCAAAAAGGAUAAAGCAAACUUCGGUGGAGCUAACCUAAACCUACCUAACUCUCGGUAUAAAAAUUCUUGCAAAAUUAUUUGAUGGUAUAAAAGUUUUGCAUGGUAUAUAAAAAAAAGAGUGGUGAUAGGUGAACCACCCUAAGUGGUAUACCACCUUAUACACCCUUCCACAUGUAGAAAAAGUUAAUAUAAAAUAAUCUUUUUAAGUGGUCUUUAUUUUAUUGUUUAUUUAUUUUAUUAAUCAAUUAAAAACAACACAAGUUUUUUUAGUGUAUCCCCCAACACAGAACACACGCUUCUUUCUUCUCCCACGUCCCACCACACCUCAGCCGUCCCUUCCACCACCACUCUUGCGCGCCACUACACCAGUCUACCACCACAUCAAUCGUUCUCACUCUUUUAAUUCCAAAUUCUGUUGUAAAAUCCGCAACUAAAUUUUCAGAACAAUGCAUUUUUCUUCACUCUCACAUCAUCAACAACAAAACCUAUUCUAAUUCUCCAAAAAUCAAUCCAAAUACUUCUUCUCUCUGUCAUGAACGCUUUGUUCUCUCACCUUUCAUCAUUCACAUCGUUUUCCACCACCACCAUCAUAAUCCCCCUCCUCAAAACGAAAUCUGGAAUUCUCACUGACAACCGUCGCCGUCAUCGUUGUUGUCGACCAAGAAAGUGAGAUUGAUAUCCUCACCCACAGCCACCGUCAUCGUUGUCGUUGGCCAAGAGAAGGAGAGGCGAGAGAGAGAAAGGGAACGUUUGAGUGAGGUCAAUGACAACAGAGUUGGUGAUGGUGACACACUGGUUCAUAGCCGGUGAGGAAAAGGAAGGAACAAGGAAGAAAGUGUGAGUGUGUGUUUCUAAUUGCAGACUCAGGAAGAUUGGAAGGAUUGAAAAAAGAAGUGUUUGCUAAAUUACCAAAAUACCCUGCCAGAUAGGGGUGUAUAGAAAAGUGAUAUGAAAAAACGGUGUUUAUGAAUCAUUUUCCUAAAAAAAGGUCUUACUAGGUUGUGUUACAAGUUAAAUGAAAUUUAAAAAUAGAAACAUUCUUUUAAAUUUUGUAUAUUCAAUCAAUUACAAGUAAAAAAAUAAAUUAAAUUCAAAUGUAUUUAUUAUAACACAAUAUUUCUACUUUUAACUCAUUAAUUUAUAUCUUAAGAAGUUAAGUUAGCAUUUCCCUUAAUAUUAAGGAUCUUAUUAAUGAGUGUCAUUAGAAUAUUGAUUAAACAAACAAUAAAAGGUUGCAAUAAAAAGUGUAUUGAUUACACAUUUUCCUGUAAAAUACUCCUCUUUUGUCUUCUUAAACAAUCUGUUAAGGAUAUUUGUUACUCUCUAUGUUCCAUUAUAAGUGAGUAUUUUCAAAUACAUAAGAAACUUUCAUUAGAAAGUUAAAUAUUUCAAUUUUUAAUUCAUCGAUUACACAAAUUUCCAUAACACGUUACUAAUUAAAGGCCUUAAAGAGUGCUCGAGGACCACCUGUUUAUAUAUUCUUCUUGUUUUUUUUUUUUUUUUUUUACAAAUUGAUCCUUUAAAUCAUAAAAUAUUUGCACCAUUAUCCUAUUUUCAUCAAACUUAGUUAAAAAGUGUUUAUGUGGACGUUUGAUGUUAAAUAGUAUAUUCAAAUUCACCACUCUCAGAACUAGGGUUCAUAUGUGUGAUGUUCAGUCUUUAUUUAAACAAAAUUGUUCUAUUAUAUGACAUUCAAUAUUGUUGAUGAAAUAUUUAUCUAUAAAAUUAGGUUAGAAUUCAAAGCAAGGAAAAAAAUAUGCGUAAGUUAUCAUGUUUGAUGUCAUAAACACAUUUGGAGCUAUCACCUCAAUGUUAAAUAGUCUAUAGACACUUUUUAACGAAGUUGACUAAAAAUUUGGAUAACAGUGUAAAUAUCAUGACUUAAGACCAAUUUUUAAAUAAAAAAACCCUUAAAGGAUCAAUUGGUAACAUUUUUUUUUAAAAGACUAACUUAUUAUAAACAUUUAACUUAAAAGAUCGCGGAAAUUAAAUAUUUUAAUUAGAAUCAUUUGACCUAUAUUUUAAUUAGAAUCAUUGACUCUUUAACAUGUCUCCAAGUUAUUCGAAGAUGAAAAUCCGAUUUUUCAUCAGUAAAUUCCAUCAACAGAGAAUUUACUAUUAAAUUGAUCAUCCAUGUUGACAAUCGAUCCAUUCGCCAAAGUUAAACCCUAAUUGUUCUUCGUAGAUGUUCAAUUUUCAUAAACUGAUUUCGUACCCGUACACGGGUUCGCUGGUUGCGUCUGUGAUUAAUGAAUUUAUGUUAAGAUAUAUUAUGGCUGAUCAUCUUGGUCUGAUUUAUCAUGAUGUACCCCUUUUAGAUUUUACCUGAGUUAGGUCUAUUGUCUCCCAUCCAUAGUUUUAAAAAUAAACCGGACCGGCUGGUCCGACCGUAAACCGGUGGCAUGACCAGUUCGAGCUGCAUGAUGGAUCGGAUAUGCAUUUAAACCGGCUGGAAUCGGUGUGACUCGACCGGUUUGGUGAACCGAACCGGGUCAAAGCAUCACUUUUAUUUUUUUGUUAAAAAAAACUGAAAAAAGAAGAAAGUGAACAAUAUAGAUGGUCUCAGGUAGAUCCGAAUAAGGGAAAAGACAAAGCAGCAGUUGUGUGUGUGAAUUUGUUGGAUAACAUAAUAAAUUUAAUACUUAAUCCAAAAUAUUAGAGAGAUAAGCAUAUGAGAUGGGAGGAAGAGAGGGGCAGCGGCGCUGCAAAUGCAAAAGAAAGUAGGGUUUUAAGUUUUCUCACUUGCUUUGCCUUUUAUAUUCACUCAUUAAUUUUUUUUUUCUCUCUCUCUUGUUUUUACGGAAUUUUUAUUUUAUUUAUUUUAUUGUUUUUAACAAGGGAUUUUUUAUUUCUUCUAAAAAAAGACCUUUUUAUUUGUAUUGAAAUGAAUGUUGGUCUUUCUUAAUAUAGUGGUGGCCUUGUCUAUUUUUAUUUCAAUUUAAUUAGCGUAUUGUAAUGGUGUACAAAUAUUUUAUAUAUGUAUCUAAUUGUGUGUAGUCAUGUCAAUUGAAUAAUAUAAAAAUAUAUAAGUUAUCAUAUUCAUUAAUAAAUAUGACAAUUCAUCUACUUAAUAUAAAAAUAUAUAAGAUAUCAUAUUCAUUAAUAAAAAUCAAGUCAUCCGAUUUAAUCCGAUUUAGUUAUGCGGUUUAACUAGUGACUCAAUGAUUCGACCAAUGACCCUGUAAUCCAUGACUUUUCCGAGUCGAUGACUGAUCUGAUUUUUAAAACUAUGUAUGCAUCCCUUUUCUUUUUAUUUGAUAUACUUUUCCUUUUGACCAAAAAAAGUCGGCAGUGAAAAUUCAAUUUUCUUUACAUGUUGGACUACCUCCUAAAUCAGACAAAGGUUUUUUUUUUGUUGUUGUUGUCAAAGAUUAUAUAUUCAACAAGGUCAUAUUUAUGCAACCAAAAGACCUCAAAAAGUGUCCCUUGUUGAUACAUUGUUAUCAACAAACUAAGGAAAUAUACUCUGGUAAAAGAGUUUUGUCACGAUUUAUUACAAGGGAGGGCCUCACCCUAAAUCCUAAUGGAAGACAGUUAUGUAUGUUAUUCCGGAAGAGGAAACAAUUAAUUACAAGUUACUUUUUUUUUGGUUAAAUUUACAAGUUAUUGUUUAAUCCAAGAAAAAGUGAAAACAUCCUUGUAUGGAAUAUCGUGUGACUGCCAGAAAUUAUGGGGGUGUUUUUUCUGUGUUUGUACCAAACUUGUGUGAAAUGAAAAUGGAUUUGAUGCGGCUUGUCACAUUUUCUUAGUGCUUGUUUGGUCAAGCGUUUUCACGCCCCAAACCACGUUUUGAAGGCAAAACACCGUUUCAAUUUUUUUUUUUUUUUAUGUUUGGAUGUUUUGCAAAAUCAAAUCCCAAGAAAGUGAUUUUGGUCCCAAACGUGGGUUUUUCAGAAGCCACAAAUUGAAGCUUCCACGGCAAUUCAACAAUCACGUUUCACUUUAAAAGGAUGAUUUACCAAACUACCCAUAUUCACACAAACAACACAACUGCUUCUUCUUCACAUCACCCAGAUUUCAGCCAGUUGCAUGUUCCCCUUUCCCUAUGAAACACACAGCCAUACAAAUCUCUCUUUACCUUGGUAAGUUUGAGGCCAUCACACAAGCUUUGAGUGAUGAAAAAAUGGGAAAAGAAUAUUAGAGAUAUGGGAGGAGGAGAAAUGGCAGAAGGGUAUUGAGAGAUGGGGAAGCAAAUCAAAAUGGUAGAAAUCAAAGAGACAUACAAGAAAUUGAAAGAUCUAUGUCAAUGGGUAUCCAAUUGGUAUGAAAUUGAAGGAUUUGCAUAAAUGGGGAUCCAAUUGGUAUGAGGGAGUUUCUUGAAAGUGUUUUUCUUUUUCUUUUGAGGGUGAACGUGUUGUUUUCUUUCUGUUCCUUAUUGAAGUUAAAAAUUUAUUUGUUAUUUAUAAAUAUAAAGGGAAUUUCUAUAGUACACUCACAAUUUUGAGUGUACCGAUACUCUUGUUUCACAAAAUAUAUAAAUUAACGAUCACUUUAAUGAAAUAAAAAGGUAUUUGUCAAUAUUUAUAUUUUAGAAAACAUUAUUUCAUAAAAAAAAAACCAUCAUUUCAUUGUUUAUAAGGAUCAUAUUAAAAAAUUUACAUUUUGUCAUAAAAAAUAAUCAAUAUUCAUUGUUACGAGUAAUAAAAAUUCUUAAAAAUUAAAUUUUAUUUCGUCGAAGCUUUUGGUAAAUAAAAUUUAAUUAUCUUAGUUGUCAAUGAUAGAAAAUAAUUAUUUUUCUUCUAAAAAACAACUCAUUUAUUAUUAAUUUUACGACUUGGUGUACCGAUACAUCCAAAUUUAUUGGGUGUACAAUAGAAUUUGCCAAAUAUAAAUACUUUUUUUUUUGACAAAAAUAAAUAUAAAUACAUUAAAAGUCCAUUUUGGUUGUAAAAAAAAAAACCCAUUUUGGUAAUUAGACACCCAAAAUCAAUUUUAAUCCAAUCUAUCCAAACAAUAUCAAUUCAUAUGAAUUACUUUUAAAUGAGUGCAUCCAAACAUAAAUCAAUUUACAUCUAACUCACUUUUAAUCAAAAUCAAUUCUCUUAAAAUCAAUUCUAUCAAAAUCAAUUCUCGCCACCGCCAUACCAAACACACACUUAAGGGUUUUUGAAAGGAAAAGUAGGCACAUGGAUCAUUUUUUUCAACUUAGUGUGUGUUUGGUUUGGCGGUGGGAAGAAUUGAUUUUGAUAGAAUUGAUUUUGGUUAAAAGUGAGUUGGAUGUGAAUUGAUUUAUGUUUGGAUAAACUUUAAUAGAAGUGAUUCUUAUGAGUUGAUGUUGUUUGGAUAGUUUGAAUCAAAAUUGAUUUUAAAUGUGUAAUGAUCAAACUAUCAUUUUAAAUCUAUGUAACUUUUAAUUGUAUUUAAAAGUAAAUAUCAUAAAUGGAUUUUAUUGCUUCAAAAAAUCAUUUUAAAAUAAUAUUAAUAUAAGAGUUAUUUUUAAUAUAUUUUUUAAUCAAUUGAUUGGUUUUUAAUAGAAUCUAGGCAUCAAAAUAAUGCAAUUAAAAGAGAGACACACACUCACUUUCUUAGUGUACGUACUCCCCAUGUGAAACCCAAUCCACUCAUGUCCUUCUCUAUCUCAAUGGCACAAUCGACUGUCUAUUUUUUCCCAGUAAAUUCGGUAUUUUCAUAGCUGAUUUUCUUCUCUCCCCAUCUCUCAAUAUAUCCUCCAUCUUCCAUAAAUAUUUAUUGUCAAUAUCUAAUCUCCUUUUUCUCAUUAAUUAAAAAAAAAAAACUCUCUUUUCUCCCAUUCUAUGGUGGAAACACAGAUUUGUCCAUUUUUUCAUCAAUUAGAUCCGUCCAUUCUAUAGAAAUUGAAACCCAAACGUGAUUUUGAUUUGCCGUGGAAGCUAGGAAUUUCAGCUUCUCCUGUACUGGCGUUUUGAAGGCAAACGUACGAUUCCAUAAUUGCUUUUUCUGUCAGCCAAACAACACAAAAAGAAAGGAAACGACGUUUUGCUGUGUAAACAGAGUUUUGGAGGAGAAAAACGCCUCCCCAAACGUACACAAUAUGCUUUCCCAUGCUAAAUCUCACCUGCUUUUGCUUAUUAAAUCAUGCAUGCCCUAUUUUAACUGCAAAAUUGGGUAAAAGAAAGUAACAAAAAACUAGUUAGCAUGCCCCAUCUGGAUACACCGAUGAGUCACGUUCAAGGUUUCUUGUUUUUUUCUUUGUUUUUUUUUUUAGGGAAAAAAAAUUACACAAUUUCCAUUUUUAAGAUUUAUUUUUCCAAACAAAUUAUUGUUUCCAUUCUUAAAAGCCUAAACCGUGAUCAAGUUAGUUGUAAUUCAAAAUUACACUAUUUCUUCCUUAAUUUAAUUUUAAUUAACACUUUUGUUUUUUUGAUUUAAUCAUUUUGUUAUAAUCAGGUAACAUUAUCAUCCUUUAUAUUUUUUCCGUUUAAUCCUUUAUGUUAUAAAAUAGGUCAAAUGCAUCUAAAUGUCCUUUAAGUUUUUCGUUUUUUUCAAAGUGGUCCUUUAAGUUUCAAAAGUCUCAAACAAGUCAUUUUAGUUUUUGAAUCGUUUCAAACAAGUCAUAUUGUAGAUAGCAUGGUUGGUAAUUGCUUUCUUGAACUCAUCUUUGGUACAAAAUCUGACUCCUAACACCCACUUAAAAUUAGUCAUCUUUUUAGGCAUGGCAAAUGGUGGAUAAUGUUCUUUGUCAUCAUCAUCCUCUAAAAGGACUUGUUUGAAACGAUUCAAAAACUAAAAGGACUUGUUUGAGACUUUUGAAACUUAAAGGACCACUUUGGAAAAAACGAAAAACUUAAAGAACCUUUAGAUGCAUUUGACCUAUAAAAUAUUAAGAAGUUAGACCCACUUACUAAAAUCCUUUAUAUAUUUUUUUGGUUUAAUCCUUUAGGUUCUCCUAUUUCUGCGAGCUUUCAAGACCUAACUCACAUAAAUUUUUCUCAUAAAUAUUAAUAAGUAGAAUUUGGUUAAAUUGAACCUAAAAUGUAAAAGUUUAUGUUUUAUGGCUAAGGUGGAUCUAUUACAGGCAUUUUCUGACCUCAAAUGCCACCAAAUCCUAAUUAAAGGGAAAAAAACAUUUAUUUAAUUUAUUAUACUAGUAUAUGAUUGUGAUAGGCACAACUUGAUGUCAUAAAUUUUAUAAGAGUGAAAUAAUGAUGGGCAAAUUUUUUAUGUGAGUUUAAUAGGCUACCUAUAUUUGGAACAUGAUAUUUACAAAUUUCUGUCACUAAGGUUCUAACGUGGAAUAACUUGGGCAGCCAUGCAAAACCCACUUUCAUAUAUGUUGAAGACUUCACAUGAUGAACCACAUGGUGUUUGGACAUGGACAGUGAUUGAUUAUUAGAGAAUAUGAAUGAAUUUGCACAAUGAAGUAAGUGGGGUUGGGGAGGGAGUAUUUAUUGAGUCUCACCUAGAAGAGUACAAUUUCAGUUGCAGUUUGCAUCUCACACAUGCUUUCUUUUUUCUAUAUAGCUUUUGAUUUUUGUAUGGUAAGGGAAAUUAAUAAUGGAGUGUAGGUGUUGAGAAGUUUUGACCAGAAGGGAAGGUUUUGAUUCUUACAUUAUCGUUCAACUUUAACCUCUCCCUCUAUUUAUUUAUUUGGUAGGAAUUUUCAUCUAACUAAGAUUUUCCGCGUUCACGCAUUUGGGAUAUUGUAAAGGAUUGAUUAACAUUGGAUUGUUUAAAAAUAUGUAGAUUUUAAUUUUUCUUUUAUAGUUUAAAAUGUGUGAAUGUAAAAAAUCUCAAAUAGCAAGGAAUCAAAAUUCACUUGGGGUUGGACGAGAUGCAUACACACUUUAAUGAUCAUCGUUAUUCCAAACAUUUAACUUCAGACAUUACAAUAGAAAGCAAGUGAAAAUAAAGGCAGCAUGCAAUUGAAUUUGAAGGACACAGUACAUGAACAUCUAUUCAAGAUGCCUCAGUUUCUUUUUCCUUUGUAUAUCCAGGCAUUUUGUUUUUGGAUGUUCUUGCUUUGUAAAAGAUACUAGAAUAUUUUGGAGUCGGUGUGUUGAAAUUGUAGGAAGUUUUUAGUAUUUAACUUUGAUUGAUACGGUGGUAGUACCUUACCCUUCUUCUUGGUUUUACAACUUUUCUCUUUCGCAAAAGUAUUCAGUUACCACUUCUCGCUUUCCUAUUUAGCAAUCCAUGUAAAGUUAAGAAAUACAAGUUGUUUAAUCUAAUUUGAAUACAAAACAUUGCAGUGCAAACUUCCAAAUAUUGCAGCAAUUGAAUACUCAGAGAUACAAGUUAAGCUUGCUCAUUCAUGUUUUAAUAAUCUUGAGGAAUAAAAUAUUUCAACACCUCAGCAGUUGCAAACUGAAUUGAUGAAAGCCUAUACAGAAAACCCAAUUUUGACAUAAAGUGCAGACAAAAAAGACUUAUCACCUAUGAUUUACUUCUACAUUGGUUCAAAAGCUAAUGUCUGUAAACAUCUCCAAGCUUUGAAGAUUCUGAUUUUGUACUAACAUAAACUGUACCUUGUAUGACAAUAUUAGGGAACCAUUUUUUUUUAGGUUAAAUCUUUUUUUGAUCCCUAUAAUUUAUAAAUAUACUAAAUUUUUAUUUUAGUCACCUAAAAUUUUUGUUCAAGAUUUUAGUCCUUAUAAAAUUUCAAUCAUCACUUUUGGUCUUUAUUUUUAAAUCGGCUCAUGUAUUUUUUAAUGAAAUUGUGUAAAAAGGGUUAAAUACGUUUUUAGUCCUUACAUUUUGCGUCCCUUUGAAGAAUAGUCCAUACAUUUCAUUAAACCUUUUUAAAAUCCUCACAUUUUAUCUCCGUUAUCAAAAUUAGUCAUUGUUGUUAAUUCUUUAACGGAAUGCUGAUGUGACAGUUAGUAGAUCCCAAUUAGUUUAAGAUUAAAUAUGUUUUUGGUCCCUACAUUUUGCGUGACUUUGAAGAAUAGUCCUUACAUUUUAAUAAAUGCUUUUAAAGUCAUGCAAAAUUUAAGGGCUAAAAACAUAUUUAACCCUUGUAAAAAUCUCUCUUUUAACAAAACAUGAGUUAAAUAUGAGUUUUUAACCGCAAAAAAUAUAAAAAUUCAUAUUUAAUUUAUGUUUUGUUAAAAAAUUCAAAUUGUUUUUUGGAGAGAUUCUAUAAUAUUAUAAAUUUUUAUGUAAAAUUUUCUUCAAAAAUAUGAAUUCUAGAUAUAUGAGUUUACUUAAAAUGAGAGACUAAAAGUGAAGAUGCAAAAUUUUGCGAUGACUAAAAGUCGAAGAAAUUUUUUAGAGGGAUUAAAAUGAGAAGUUGAUAUAUUUAUAGGGAUUAAAAACAUAUUUAACCUUUUUUUUAUUAGUGAAAAGAAGAUAAAGAACACCCAACACCUAAAAUCUUUACUUUUUUUUCUUUCUUUACAUUUUUUUUUUAGGAAAUUCUUUAUACCACUUAUAUAUCACAGUUCACACACUCAUUAUGAUAAACCGACGCACUCAUCAAAGUCAUUUAGCGUGACAAGUUUUAAAAUAAAUGUGAAAAGCAUAAAGAAGGAGCAAGAAUGUUGAACACCAUAGCUUUAUAUUUUUAUAUAGAUAUAUAUGAUGAUAUGAUUAAAUUAAAGUUGUGAUAAUUUUCAAACACAAAUCAUUAGAGGAACCUUCACCCUCAAGAUACACUACAAAGAGGUUUUCUUGUGACCAAACCAGAUCUACAAUUCAAAUGAUCCUCUCUUAAAUAUCAUUCACAGACAAAAACAAAACAAAAUAAUCACAUGUACAAUAUAGAUGAGCAGGAGUAACAUUCAACAGCAGAAAAACCACAUAAAAAUAUAAUUUUCUAUUGAUUAAAACACAAAGGUGUUGGGUUUAGGUAUAUUAAUGCAGCUGAUGAAGAAAAGAGUGAAAGAAGAGAUAGCGAGAGGUGCAAAAAUUUGUAGAGAUCUACACUCAUUAAUUAUUUUUUUAGCAUCUGACGAUAUGGUAGUAUUAAAUUAGUCAAUAGUUUAUUAAAUUACUCAAUAUAGCUGUUUUUUUUAAACAUCAGUAUAGUUGUUUAUUCAAGUAUCUUCACCCUUCUAGGAUAGUGAAGAAGAAAAAAAUUGGUGACGAUUAAGGUUUGGAAAAGAGAGAAGCAAGGUCAAAGGUAAUGGGGUGGCCAAGGGAGGUCGUCCCCCCCCCCCCCCCCCAAUUUUUUUCUUAAAAAUUUUAUACUACUAAUUUUAUGCUAUUUCACUAGUAUUGUGAACGUGGUCCCCCGUCAUUAGCUCUUUUGUUGGAGUCCUCGAUUAUUUGAACAUUGAGCAUUUGUCAUUUAUGAAAAAAAAGAACCCUUUAAGUAUGUCAAUUAUAAAAGCGACAAUAGAAUAAAAUAAGAUAUUUUUUCUUCUCACUUCCAUUUUUUCUCCCUGCCAUUUGAAAAUACCAAAAUACUCGUAGAGGUACAUUGGAGAGGUGAACGAUAGUUAAGUGUCACUCGACCCACAACAAUUGCGAAAAUAGAAAAUUGGGGAAUUGAGAAGAGUAACUUUCAUAAACUAAAUCAAAUAAGUAAAUAUAAUUUUUCUCUCUUCUCCUAAUAUUAACUUUAAAUGUAGAUUUAUUAAAAAAAAAACAUAAAAUGUAGAUUAAAAUUCUUAUAUAUGUAGUGCAUUUGAGAUUUUUUGUUUUGUUUAACUAAAUAUCUUUUAGUGCUCGUUUGGUUACCCGUUUUGUGGGUACAAACGUGAGUCUGAAGCACUCAAAAGCAGUUUUUCUAUUUUUGUGGUGUUUGGGUAACUGCAAAAGUGAUUCAACCCCCAAACUCACGUUUACCAGAAGCUAAAAGUUGGAGCUUUUCAAAAGCAAUUUAGGAAUUCAACUUUUGGUGGCUGAUGUACUUUCCUAAAUUACCCAUGAUAUUCUUUUUCAUUUUUCGACAAAGUUUUAUAAAACACAGCAAAAGUGAUGAAUUUUUUGUUGCUCAAAUUCUUUCUCGACCCUGUUUCUGCCUUCAUGUUACCCAGCAAACUUCAACAUUCUCUCUCUUUCUUUGAGAAAAGAUGGAAUUGGGUUUGUAUUUAUUUAUUUUAUUUUAAUUUUCACAAAAUGAAAUUGGGUUUCAUAGGCCUAUUAGUUAAUUUCUCCUCUUAUGCAAGCCCAUUACAUUUUUUACAGAUUCUUUUUUAAGAAAAAACCAUUUGACAAAAUUUGUUAUUUUUUGUACAAAGAGAAAAUUUGUUAAUUAAUAUGUGUAAAAAUAUUUAUAUAGUAUACCUAAUUCAAAUUAAAGUAUCAAAUUAACAUGCAUUUUAUUUUAGAAGUUUUUCUAAUCUACAAAUAAUUAAAUUGAUAAUGCAACAUAAAUUUGAAUAAUUAUAUAAAAUAGAAACAAAAUAUAAUUUUAAAUAGAUAUUUAUACUCAUUUUGGUAAUUAUGCAUUCAAAUAACAAGAAUUCUAAGAAUCAAUUCACAUUCAAGUCACUUUUUUUCAAAAAUCAAUUUUAUCAAACUCAAUUCUAUCAAAAUCAAUUAUUUCCACCGCUGAACCAAACGCACACUUAAACAUGUCCCCCCUUAACCGUUGUUAAAUUUCUAGCUCGACCUGUGGAGGAAGAGAUGACCAAUUAUUUUUCACUCAAUUACUUUUAUAUAUGUACAUAUCUUUUUCUUAUUCAAGUUAAUUUUGUAUUUCAUAAAAGACAAAUUAUUCAAAUGAAGCUCGUUUCGAUUUAUGUGUGGAACAAUUUUGGCUAGAUUAAAAAAUGAAACGCAAGAAUUAAAAUUAAAAAUAGAAAUUUCAAAAGGAUAAAAAAUUCUAUAUAAAAAAAAGAGACUAAAAUUGGCAUUUUAAUGGGCUAAAUAAAUGUUCUCUACUUCUCAUAUGCAAGCAAGGAGAAAAAAAAAAAAAAAGUGGAGUUUCUCUAUGCAAAAUCGUAAACGCUUUAUUGGUGAGUUCUUCUCCUUUUCGUACUAUCAGUUCAAGUGUUUAUAUUCGCCAGAAUUUGAUUAUAUUCAUCACAAUCGAUUAUUUAUAUAUCUUUAACAGUUAACACUGAUACGAUUAUUGAAUUUGUAUGAAUUAGGAAAUGGCUUCAACAUCAGAAGCUAUGAAUGAAUUCGACGAAUCGAUGAAGAAACAAAUUGCAUUAAUUUUGAAGGUUGUGCUUUUGAAUAAAUCCUUGAAAGAGGAUAAUAUUCCUUGUGAAAUUGACCAGGUAGUUUACUUAAUCAAGCUUCAUUUUGUUAUUAUCUUCACUAUUCUUCUGAAUUUUGUAACUAAUGAUGAAUGAUAUUUGGUUAGGGUUUGUUUUUGGGUUCAGUUGGUUCUGCUACGAACAAGGUUGGUUUAAAAAAUGUGAAUGUUACUCACAUUUUGACUGUGGCUGGGAAACUUGCACCUGCACAUCCUGCCGAUUUCGUCUAUAAAGUUAUAGAUGGUAUGUUUCUUUUAUUAUUACUUAUUGCACUCACACGGUCACCAUACAUGACACUGACACAUUGACACUAGUAAAAAUUUGAGAAAAUGAAUUAACUGAACGUAAUCACAUAUCCAAUGUGGUGUCGGUGACACGCCUUUAAUCAGGGAUGUCGGUGUUACAUAGAUGAUCUGGAACUGAUUUUGACAAUGAUGCGGUUUUAUUCUUUUUGAUUUUGGUCUUUCGGAGCUGUUGGUUUUGUGGCUAUCAAAGUAAUGCAAGUGAAUUCACUAUAUAAUGGACUAAACAAAUGGAUAGGGUGUGUUUGGAAAUACAUAUCUUCAUCAAUAAUGUUACAAUAUUAGUCAAAAUAUAAGGUUGAGGUUACCUAUUUUUAUUAGUAAGAUGAUUUGGAUGUUAACUUUUGUUACCUUAUUGAGGUUCUCAGUUUCCAUGUUUAUGGAUUAUUUGAGUUGUAUUGCAUUUAAUGUAAGGUUUAUUUAAAGAAAUAAUGUUAAAAUAGGGCAAAAGGAAGGAAGUGGUGGUAGGGUGGGUUUUACAGAACACCGAUUAGGACAGGGUCGGGUACCUAAUUUUUAUUUUGGUGACAAUGGAGUGGGUUUUGGGAGGCGGGUUCAGGUGGAGAGCAAAACCUUGACUCCAUGACCAUUGCGUGCUUUGAUCUAUAAAAGUUUAGCAUUUUCUUUGCAAUUAUGAAAAAGCGUGCUUUGAUCUUUGAAAGUUUAGCAUGUGUUGAGAUUGUUCCAUUACUCGACAUUUUCAAUAGGAGAGAAAUUGAUGUAAUAUUUUUUUUAGUUAUUCAUCUCUCUCUCUCUCUCUCCCUCCUACUAGAUGUGUCGAGUACUAGAGAGAGGAUCUCAAUCUGUUUAGCAUGCAGUUGCUGUCAAAAAAUUUCCUUCUAUCUUAGAAAUUGUAUUUUGUUAUAAUAGAUGUUAUCAUCUCAGAAUGUCAGUUCCUUUUUAACCGACUCGUGUAAUAUUGCGAUCAAUUAAAUGAGACUGCACAACAUUUCAGGUCCAUGUUGCUUGUCAUUAAGGUUGAUUAUGAUUAUAUUGAUUACACUCUAAUUUUGUCUUAAGUUUUUUAGGCAUCUAGUACACAAUAUCCAUACUAAAGUUACACUUUUGUUGGAAAAUUGAGAAGUUGCUGACAAAGAGGAUACCAACUUAAAACAACACUUCGAAGAGUGUUUUGAUUUUAUUGAUGAAGCUAAAAGUAAUGGUGGAAGUGUUUUGGUUCAUUGUUAUGCUGGAAGAUCGAGGAGGUAAGUUUCGCUGUUUAUAUCUUUCUCUCUUGCUUACAUAGGAUCAUUUCUUGUUCAUUGUACAGACUAUUAUUUUACUUUAGACAAGUGUCAAUAAGUUGAAAUCUGUUUUAUGUCUCAAUCAUCUCAGGCAUUUUUGUUUUGUUUUGGUUUAAAUUUCUGGAAUGUUGUUUCUCAAGCAAAAACUGGGAGCAGCACAUUGCAUAUUUGAAUUUCAAUGUUUCUUAAAAUCCUUACAUUUUUAUUUUGUUAUCAUUGUCUUUUAUUAUUCAAUAGCAGAUAUUAUGUUUUGCUUAUAAAGUUGGGAAAAUGUCAUGGAAGCUUAUAGCUUUUUAAUUAUGUCUUUAGUUCAAUGAUACUAUCUCUUGAAAUCCAUUGUAAUAAUGUUCUGAGUAUGGCCAUAUAUAUGUGAUGCCAUGUGGAAUUUGAGGAUAUGAUUGUUGAGCUAAAUGUCAAAUUGUUUCAUAUAUGGAAAAUGACAAACCUUGUUGAUGCUUUGAAAAUUACAGAUAUGAUUUUUUUUUUGUUUUCCCUGUCAUUAUUGUUUUCUUUUCCAGAAAUCUGCUUUCAUGUCGAUCUUUUCCGUUUGAACUUUGACAUAUUAAACAUUUGAACUGACAAUUGAAGUGUGCAUGCUUCUCAAUGAAAUAGACUAAAAAUGCUUUAUAGUAUGAAUUGAGAUGCCAUCGAUUUUUUUAAUAUGUAGAAUGGAAAGUUAGGGAUGUAAGCUUGAGAUUCAUGAAUGAUGAUUAUGUCCUUGUUUACUAUUGGCCUGUCACUUAUAUUCUGCACAAAGUUCAUGCAGCAUUUUACUACCUCCUUUUUUAAUGGUCAUAUUGGAACUAAGAAUCUUGGUAUUCAUAUUGUUCAUUUGGCUAUUUUCUUUUUCAUUAGAUUAACUGGAAAAACUUGGUUCUAAUUUAUUUCCACCUUCUAGUGUGACUAUCAUUGUGGCAUAUCUGAUGAAGUCUCGGGGAAUGAGCUUAUCUGAAGCUCUGCAACAUGUAAAAUGCAAAAGACCACAAGCAACUCCAAAUCGUGGUUUCAUUCGUCAGCUGGAAGACUUUGAGAAAUCUCUUCAAGGUUAAAACUGUAUUAAUCUUAAAUAUAAUUAAACAUCAACAUGCCAAUAUAUAUAUAUAUAUAUAUAUGGGGUUUGCUAGAACACACCCACUAAUUUUUAUGUGGGAGUGUUUUAGCAAAGCUACACCUUAAGGUGUAUUUAACCACUUUUUAGUUAUUAAAUUGCUAAAAUACUCCUUCUAAAAAAUAAGUGGGUGUAUUCUAGCAAAUGCCUAUAGGAUUUGCUAGAACACACCCACUUGUUUUUUUAGAAGGUGUGUUAAAACAACAUACACCUUAAGGUGUAUUUAUUAACUUUUUAGUUAUAACUUACUAAAACACUCCCACAUAAAAACUAGUGGGUGUGUUCUAGCAAAUCCCUAUAUAUAUAUAUAUAUAUAAGAUACAUUUAGAUCUUAUAUAGAUAUUAAAUGGAUACACCUCUAUAGCCAUGAAGAUACAUUUACGAUUUACAUUUAGCACAUGUAAGAGCUUGUGUAAAAUAUAAGGAGUCACUUCACUUUACAUAAAAGCUUUUAUAAUGCUUAUUGCUUAAACUGAAAGAAAAUUGACUUGUAUAUAAUAUAGUAAUCUAGCAGAGUGUGCAUGGUAAAGGAAGUAUAAAGGGUUUUAUAAUUAUCCACUAAACAUCAUUGUUACCAUUGUCAUACAAUUUUUGCAUAAAGAAUGAUACAAUCACAUAAGAGUUUGACUAACGAUCAUGUCUUAUAAGCAUAUAAGCUAUAUUCGUGUGUGUAUGUGUGUGUCUCUAUUUCAUUAUGAUCUUUAUCAGAUAUUUAAGCAUAUGUGCUCAUUUUUCUGUGAAACUUUGAUUUGAACAUAUCUCUUUCCUUUAUUUUAUAUUUUUUGUAAUAUCUAAAUUUUAAUGCAUGACAUUAUGUAUAUGAAAUAUUAAUGCAAUUCUGUCAAAUUGGAUCUUCCUGGGUUUUUCAAAUGGUAGAUCUAUGUUUUAAUUUAUAUAUACCUUCGCUGACUUUAAAAAUACCGCUGUUCUCUUUAUAUGGUUUUCCCCCUUCAUUUUCUUCACUAAUGGACUCCACAUUUCUUUUGUUCUUCAUAUAGUUUUAUGAACACUGAUUCAAAUUCAAACUAAAAGUAGUUUGUGUGAACAUAUCAUUGAUUGUAUCUAGUUUGUUUUUGUGAAGAUAUCGAAGUGUCUGGAUAGAGAACAUGAUGGUGAUCAGACAAGGUAGUGUAGAUGAUUAGCGUGACUCUGGCAAUCAUGUGAAGACAAGGCAGCAUCAGUUAUGGAUUGGCACUGAAACUUCAUCCUCAGGUGCGGAAGUCCCAGUUUAUAACAACUAUGAAUUGCUACUAUGCAUACCAGCCUAUUUCAUGAAAUGUUGAAUUCGAUCUGUCUUCUCUCAUUCCAUGUUUCUGUAGUGUUUAGGAAAAAUGGCCUGUUAGGAAAAAUUAACUUUGUUAGAGGGGAUAUACUUCUCCAGAAACAUUUACGAAAACCAAAAUAUUAAAAUAAUUGCAACGAGUACUCAAUUUUUAAAUAGCAGCUUUUGUUUGAGAGUAUUCUUGAGCUUUUUGGAACAUUUUUCUGUUUUAUUUUCAAGGGAUGCACCUAAUAGUACUUGAGUUUUUGAAGUGGAUAUUGUUCAGUAUAUCCAAGCUGAACCCAAUUAGGCAAGUCCAAUAUCGGAUUGCCCACACUCGUUGUUGACCCAAACUGAUAAAAGAAAGGGUAAAUAUCAUCUCCUCUCCACGACUGGGAGCUACCGUGCACACUCUGAUUAAAACCUGUGAGCACAUGAUGAGAAGAAAUUACCACCUCUUGUCUACCCAUGGGCAACACCAAAGGUUCCAACCAGGAAAGACCCGUGAUGGUCACUUCCACCCACACGAUGAUUGAAUGAAAGGAGAAUUGGCCCAUUAUCCCGAGUAAUAUAACUCAGAGAGGAGGCAAAUAAUAGCUACAAAUAGGACACGUGUAGAUGUUCAUAGGCAUUCCGCAUUUUAGACUAUCAAAUGUAGAGAAUUUUUGUAACCUAAUAAAUUUUGUUGUCUUGUAUUCGAAUGUUAUUGUCUUGGGUUUAGUUCUCAUUCUUAGUGCAAUGACAUUUGAGAGCUUUUUUCACCCAUGGUUCUUAAAAAACGGUCUUGUCCUGCUCAUGGAAUUUCCCUAGUUGAGACCCCAGUACCUCACACCCAAAUGAUGAGAGUUGCCACCACUUCCUUUGCCCACGAGCAAGACAAUUUAAUUAAAGGAGAAACUAUCCACUAUACCAAGUAACGUAAUUUAGAGGAGGUAAAUGAAGGUUAUCAAUAAGACGAUUGUAGACGUUCAUAAGCACUAGACAUUUUAGAUCACCAAAGAGAUUUCUUUUAACUUGAUAAAUUUUAGUCUCUUGUAUUCAAAUGUUGUUGUCUUGGCGGGCUUAGUCUCCGUCUUAGUGCAAUAACAUAUCACACUGGGGAAAAUAAUGAAAAUUGAAAUGCCAUAAACGAAUACUUGAGGUCUAAUAAUUACAUUUCAAAUCAUCUAUUUCUUUACCCAAAAAUCAUCUAACUUAGGAGGGUCAUCAAGUCUAGAGUUUAAUAUGUUCGCUCUUACUCUUGAUAAGUUAUUUACGUCGGAAUAAGAAUGAAUUUAUUUUUUCUGGAAAAAAGUGGACUGGUCAUAAUGUGGUUAAUACCAUCCAUGGAGGCAUGGGUGCAGAUUGCGAGAUCUCUCAAAGGUCCUCGUCCAUCUGACAAUGUUUAAGUUGAAUUGUGACAUCGUUUUGUUCAGGGAGAUAUGUGGGCUGUGGCCUGUGGCCUGUGGGGGUAUCCGUUGAGAUUGUAGGCAAAUUUGUUUUGUUUAUACUAAGAGAUUAUGCUGCUAUAGCCUAUAAGGGUUUUAGAAAGCAAAGUUGAUGAGCCUCUUCCAUGGCCUAAGUCUGGUCCUUAGAAUAGCAAAAUUACGGAGUCACUGAAGUCGGAAUCCUUGGUGACCAUUUGUCCAAUCUCCAAAAGAUGCGUUCCAUUACCAUUUGCAUGCAUAUUCAUGUUAAAUUUUAUCGAAGGGAUUCAAAGCCUCUUGCAUGAUAGCAAAUCAAUAUUGUGGAAAUAAUUUAGUUCGAAAGUUCGAGUGCUUCCAACGGUGCAACCAUUAUAAAUGGUUUAAGUGGAUUUUUUUUUCAUAAUGUCACAUUACAUUUAUUUUAUUAUUUUUUGUUUUAAUGGUACAACCUUAAGAAGUCACGAUAACUCUCACAGAAUUAUCUAUCAAAAUUCAAUAGAAUACAAAAUAAUUUAAAAAUAAAGCUGGGUAGCACAGGACAUCAUGCUAACCCGGCCACCCAACCCAACAAGUUCUAUGUUUGCAUACUUUUAAAAAUUAAUUUCUCUAACAUAAUUUCUAAUUUGAAUUUUUUUUUUUUUUUAUCACGUUUCACACGACUCUUUCUUUAUUAAGAUGCAGAAACACCUUAAUUACAUCAUCACUUUGUCAUUGUGACAUACUUGUUUUUGAUUUUUCACAUUCUAACAUAACAUGUUGAAUUGGAGUUGAUCCCUGGUCCAAAUGUUGUCUUGUCCCCUAUCAAAUCACUCAAAAGAGAUGUGUCCGUUUCUAUCUUUUACUUUUGUUCCCUUUCGAUUUAUGUUGAUAUGAAAUGUUUCAUUCCUCGGUAAAUCAGGUGAAUAAUAAUAUGGAUUUAGUUUAUAUACAUCCACCAAUAGUAUAAACUUUAUAAAAAAAAUAAUAGUGUACACUUUAUAAACUUUCUAACCAUGUAUAUUUCAAGAUAUGUUAUUUGAACAACCAUUUAUAGAAUAACUCUAUAAAAAAGGUAAAUAUUGACACAAAAAUUAAAGUAAUAAAUAGAGAAAGUAAAAAUAAAAUAGUAUCAGAGAAAAUUGUCACAAAAUAGCUGUAUAAAUAUCAUUUCUCAUUUCAUAUAUAUGAUGUUAUUUUUAAAACAUGGGAUCAAAACUUCAGUUUGUUUUCUUAAAUUGGAGGCCAAAAAAAGCUAAAAAAAUUAUAUAACUCUUUUCUUUUUGUUGAAAAAAAAUUACCAGUGUAACUCUAGUAAUUAAGAAAGAGACUUAUGCAAAGGAUAAUUUUUUUUUCAAGGAAUAAACUUAUAACUUUUCAUUAGAUAUCAAUUAUGUAAUACAUGAUGGUACAUCAAUAAAGACAUGAAGGAUAGCUCGAAAUGUGGCUAUCCAUGCUAAAUCAUGAGUGACCUUAUUUGUUUGUUGUCUAAUAAACUCGCUAUGAGAGUUUUGAAAAAAAUAAAUUACAACAGUGUUUGCAGACCUCCAUAAUAGCCUCAAACUCCAUUAUAUCUAUGCUACCUCUCUUAAAGUAGUCGGCAACCUUCUUCAUAUCCACCUCAAAGUCUAACAUUUGCCAGUUGUAAUUCUUCGAUGCAAUAACAUGAUAUUGCCCCAUCGCCUACCUCGUAUCCACUGAACAAACUCGUGAAAACCAUUAAGUUUUAGCAAGAACAUACACACUCGUGUCAUCGCGAAUGCACAUACUGGUGCCUACUCUGUUGCAAAGGCAUAUUGUUUUCAUUCAACACGAAUUCAUAUCCUUUAUAGAUCAACCAAGAGAAUGCAAAGCUAUAUUUAGGAAUAAAGACCAAGGGAAUUCAUAUCUUUUUUUAUAUCUUUUUUAUGCAAAGGAUAACUGUUUUCAUUCAAAAUGAAUUCAUAUCUUUUUUGGAUCAACCAAGAGAACGCAAAGCCAUAUUUUGGAUUGGAGACAAUAAUCUAUGUUUCCAUCAGGCUACGACAAUCCUUUCUACUUGAAUGCAUUAUGACAUUAUUUCUUUUUCUUUUACGGUUAUUAAAAAAAUAUCAAGCAUGCUUUAAUCCUUCAAAAUUAAGUCCUUUAUCAUGAGAGUUUGUAUGCAGAUAUGUGACAAAUUCAUCUAUCUUAAUUAUCAUCAAAUUCAUCAACUAUAAUUAAUAUUCACUUAACAUUGCACUUUGUUUUUUACAUGUUGUAGAUAAUCCAAAAAUUGAAAUUUACAGUCUGACAAUCAAUUAGAUGCAGAUGUGUUAUGAAGAGAGACUCACUUAGAGUACACAUACUGUUAUUUCCACUUUUAUGUAAUUCUGUUAAAAUCUCUAGGUUCCUGUGGUUCUUGCAUAUAUGUUUGUUUCUGUUCCCAAUUUAUGAUUAAUAUAUUUGAAGUUGUAAUGCUGCAAUAUUAAUAUAAUAUAUUUUUUUUCUCCACAUCUUCAUUCCAUAUUUCUUUAGUAACAUCCAAUCCAAAUAUAUUAAGAUCUUAACAGUCUUAUGUAGGAAAUUAUUCCUUCCUACUUGUUCAUUUUUAUUUCCUGUUUCAGUUUUUUUUUUUUUUUGGUAAAGGAAAAGUAAAACUAGCUUAUCAUAAUUUUCCAUUUAUGACUCUUGCUAUAUAAGAAAGGGUAAAAACUACUAUAAUUUUAAGAAAUUAUGUAUUUUAUAAAGAAUAAAGAAUAAAAAGUUGAGCCGAAAGCCAAAACUAGUCGCCCUUUAUCUCUUCACCAUAAUAUGAAAGAAACUGUUGGGUAGCACUCUCACAUUCCACACCAUUUUCUAUUUUUCUCCUUGGAACAUGUUAUCAUUAUUUUAUUUUAUUUUGUCAAAAAUAUGUUAUCAUUCUUGAGUACAAAAGUUAAUAACCCUUGCCUAAAUUAUUACAUGACAUGGACCCAUUGUUGGAAAAUGGAUGGAUCCAGCCAUACCUAUCCAUCUCACUCCAACACUCUGACCACGAUGCUGUCCCAUUCUUUGUAAAGAACUUCGUCUUUUUUUUCAUAUGCUUACACGUGAUUUAAUAAUAUAAAUUAUGAAUAGUGCACAAUCAUUGAAUUGAUUUGUUGAGGCGUGGGUCUUUUGAAAGAACAUUGUCUAUAUAAGAAAUAAGACCAAGGUCAAUAAAGAGCCCCCUUAAAAAUAAUUUUGAUUUCCAACCAUUUUUAAAAACCGAAUUUAGAAAUUUAUUUUGUCAAGCAAUCGUAGAUUAUUUGAGUCAUUUGAAAAAAGCGUCAAAAGUUUGAUUGCUAAUUGUAAAUACUCCUAUAUCAUUAUUCAAAAAAGUGAAAACUAAUUAUAUAUUUGUAAUACUGUAUACAUUUUUUUAUGAUAAAUAAUAUAAAGAAGUACGUAUACAUUUUAGUUCAUAAAAAAUAUAUUAGAUGAAUACAAUGAUUAAUUUUUCUAAUUGGAUUUAAAUUCUAAUUGUAAUUAUCUACAACAUUCUAUCCGAAACUACUUGAUGUGAACUGUGAAAACAAAAUUUGCGGUUACAUAAAAAACAAACUAGAUUUAUAAAGUUAGACCGAGUUGUACUGAAGUUGAAUUGAAAUGUCACAUUGCUUAGAUUUUUAAGUUGUUGGAUGUAUUAAUAUAUUUGAACACCUUCAUAUUUUGAGUUAGUUUUUGAAAUUAUUGAGAGAAAAUUUUCACAAUAGCAAAAUUACAUUCACAUAAGCAAAAUCAAACAUGAAAACAACUUACAAUCUCAUACAAUGUUUGUAGAGGCAAAAUUAUAAACUCUCAAUUAUAAUUUUUGCACGAAAGAAUUGAAAAACCUUUCAUAACAUACAAUUACCUAAAACUCCAAUGAAUCCAAAGACUCAAGUUGCAAUGAAGAAAAACUCAAACCAACUUCUAUAUUUAUAAUAACUUUAUAUCUCUUUUUUCUUUUCACUACUCGAUUUGAAAUUUGGAUGAAGACUCACUUAGACACAACACUAAUUACAUCCAAACUCAUUUAACAUGCUAUCAAAGCAAAUUAAGGAUCACAAUAUGGGAAUUUGACUUAGAACCCACACUAUACAUAACGGUGGAUAUUAAAAUUUUAUUAGAGUCUCACAUUACUCAGGUUCAGAGACGGUUGAAUACAUACAUGUAUUUAAAUACCUUUAUUCUUUGAGUUGAUUUUUACAAUGAGAUUCAUGUUUAUUUAACAAGUUAUACGGUUGUUUCAAAGUUUAAAGUUCCAAAUCUCUUCCUCAAAACGAAAAUGUUUAAAAUCUCAAUUAUUUAAGUUCAAAUUCCCCACUGUGCCCUCAUGGAACCCGCGAAAUAUAGUUUGAGACUUAGUAAGUGAGUUGAAAUUUUGGCAAUUGAAUUUCCAUCAUCAUCAAGCAAUUUGGUACCAGUGUCGUUUUCAUUUUUCAUAGCUAUAACUUCUGAGUGGGAUUAGGAUCAUUUGAUGACUAUAAGUUCAUUGAUUAACAUUUCCCUGCCGUUCCUUCCAAAAUAAAAAAAAAACAUUUCCCCGCCGUAGUUAGCAAUACAUUCAAUUAUCCCUAAACAUUGAACUUAUAAGACUUUUGAACGACAUUUUUUGUUUGUCGUAUACUGGCGGUUAUCAACAACUUCGGCAAAAUUUAUUAAAAAACUUGAUCACUGCUCAAAACGAACAGAGAGACCGGUAUCAGAUAUUACAGAAUGAAUGCGUCGUAUAUAGGCGGAACACCUAAAAUCAACACCAUAAAAGACAUUAAACACCCAUCACCUAACCAAGAUCUACCUUAACACCUAAAGAGAACAACAAUCACCAAAACCAACUUCACCACCUAAAUCAAACUUCAUCAUUAAACGGCAACUGAAAACGAAAUCCAUAAACCCCUUUCGCUCGCUGCUCACCCCAAAAAACAUCCCUCUAAAUCAGACAACCUCUUCUCAUCACCUAAACUGAGCCGUAUUCAAAAAUGUUCUAUUCCAACGCUUAGUCAGCUUCCACCACCUCUCUAUCCCUGAUCCACCAAAGAAAACAUUAUAAUUCAAUGUUCGAUUAUUCCAAUAUCAUCCAUCUUAUCUCUUAUCUAUUACAGAUUUGUGUACUAUCAAAAAAUGUAUGGAGGAUUACUUAAAGUCAACUCGUUGGUUCUUGUGAUUCAACUUUGAAUUUCCACUUUGAUGUCUGGUAGUAUUAAUUUUUUUAAUCGUACUUCGUCUUGGUUGCCUAUUUAAUUAUUUCAUGACUCUAUUUGUAUAAAACAAUGCCCAGUAGUACUAGUUUUACUAUUUUUGCAAGUUUUUCAUGUGCACCUCACGUAUUGAAAUAUAAAAAAAAAAAAAAAAUUGAGAAAUCAAUAUUCGAUAUACAUUUUUUUCUUCUCCUAUGUCAAAUCAAACAAAAAAGAGAAAAAAAUGUAUUUUUUUUCUUUUCUUUAACGUUCACUUCUACCAACAACUAAAAAUUCAUCAACUCUCUAUUAUCUCUUUCUUCUUUUCAUUCGUUUGUGUGUCUUUCCUCUGACUUUUUUUCAUAUGCCAAACGAAGCAUGCAUGUACAUGUACUAUUGGUGUGGAGGUGCCAAGCUAUAGUAGAUGGGGAUUCAAUCUCCAAUUCAAUGUGGUCAAAAGUAGAGGGCCCCGUUAUAUAUGUAUGGAAAAGAACAACCUAUCAAUAUGAGCACCAGUAUCUUCCAUUAUUAAUUUCUUUCUCCAUUAGCUACAUACCUUGACUUACUAGAACCUUCAAUUCACCAGAAAAGAAAAACUCACUGUUAAUUCAAACAUGCAUUCACCAAGUUAAAGUGAAAUUUGGGAUGAUCGUAGUUAGUUUGGUUGAGAAACAAUAAUAUUGGAUCGUUAGCAGACGUGUGCCUAAUCACAUUAACUGGUCUCCCUCUCUCUAUCUCUCUCAAACAGCACCACUUGUCUUUUUGCGUAAGCAAAUAUUAUAAGGAUCUAGGUGUUUAGAGGCAGUUGAGGAAAGAAGCCGUUAGGGAGGCACUUUGCAUUUUCCUCUUUCUACUCUAGGCAAUUUUAGGCGGUUGCUAUAUAAUUAAAUGGGGAUCUUCGAAGCACAGACACAAACAAAUGUCGAACACGAAAAUAAAACGAACACUAAUUCAAUGGGAAGUCACUAUGCACUAAGGGAGGCACUAUGCAUUUACCUAUUUUAAAAUAUUAAUUCUUUUAUCUUUCAAGCAGGUUAGAGGUCAGAGCUCGCACACUUUAAAUAUGAAAAGUCUAAGAUUUGAACUAUAACCUAUGCAUAUAUUAUAUAAUAUUUUUACCGAUUGACUUAAGUUAUUUUUUAAACAUGAAUUAAUUCAAUGUAAAGAUGUUGGACAACAAGAACUUUUUUAUUCAAAGUAAAAUGUCGAUGCUACAAAGGAAUAGAUCUAAUCAGAACCCCACAUUCUUCAUAUUCGGUCACAAGAGAAGGAAACUAUGAUUAGAUAAAUGGAUGGAGGAGAUGCACCUUAUCAUAAUGUCACCUAUCCCAUCCAGAUCAAACCACAUGAUUUUUUUUUUUUUUUUGUCAAGUAGCCUAGUGGCUAGAGCUCACACAAUUAAAUUGUGGAGAAGUGGAGUGUCUGGGGUUCGAACCCCAGCCCCUGCAUAUAAUAUGCAAUAUCCCUACCAACUGAGCUAAGCUCACGGGGAUAACCACAUGAUUAUUAUUAGUAAAGAAAUGAUAUUUGUAUAUAUUUUAUGACAACUUUCUCUUUCAUAUUUAUAUUAUGUUUUUAUUUAUCUCUAUUGUUUUGAUUUUCAUAUCAAUGCUUAAUUAUUCUUUGUAAAUCUAUAAUCAACCAAACAGGGUGAGGUUUAACAUGGAAAAGGGAAGUUGUUUCCCAUGAUGGGAAAGUUGAUUUUAACCGUUUGAUUAAAUAAAGAGUACACUGUUAUCAUGUUCUCACAACACUAAAUUAUUUUGACACUCUUCUCCAACAAUUCUCUCUCCUCCGUGUCUCCCUCACCAACCAGUACCACAACCAGCAACUUCACAAUGUAUUCAUCUUCCAUUUCCAGAUCUUGGUCUCUGUUUAAUUUUAACCUCUAAGUUCAAUUUGAGCCCCUCUUGAAUCAGAAUAAAUCCAUUACAAAGAAAACCUUCAAUAAACUGAGACCACUUGAUGUUGUUCGGAGAACAAACACACUACUUGGAUCUCUAUCUCAUCUUUCGUUGCUUCCUCUUCAACCUCCUCAUAUGCUUCUUCUUCUUCCACUUGGCACACAUGGUUGUUGAAAACGUAUGAGAAUUUGAUGAGAGAAAUCCAUAUUCCAUUAUUAUUUUUAUUAUUAUCAAUAAUUUGUGGGUUUUUGUUAGCAAAAUUUACAGCAACCUCUCGAAUUUGUUGUGGUAUAAGUGAAUUGUUAGAAACUGCAUUGAUAUCCAAAUUGAAAUAAAUUUUUAUUUGCAGCAACCUCUUGAAUUAGUUGCAGAUGAUAAGGUUUUUAUUUGAUCAGUGGCAACAUCAUGAUGAUCCAUGUUCAGUAUAGUAGCUACUAGCUAGUUACAUUCAUAUAAUAAUAAAUUUUUAUGUGGGUAGCUAAUUUCAAUUAAUAUUGGAGAAUUCAUUGUGUUGUGCUUGCCUAUAAAUAAACACCAAAUGAUGAUGGCUCGUGUGUGAAUAACUUGGAUUUUGAAUUUGAAUUGAAUGAAGGUCUUAGCUCUAAACGUGUUUAUCAAAGUGAGUUAAGCAACAUUAAACAACAGAAUGAAUCAAUGGGUUUUAAAAAAUUGGGUUUUGAGAUCUGGUCGCACAAUAAAAGUGAGAAAACCGGAUCUGAGACAAGUGUGCGUCUCUUUAAUCUAAUGGUUAAAAUUUUUUUUCUUAUCAUAAAAAAUAACUUCUCUUUUCCAUACUAAACCUCACCAUCAAACAGUUGUUCAAAUAAUACAUCACUUAAUAUAAUUACCACCUUUGAACAGAACAGAAUGGCAUAAUAAGUGGGUCCCCUGUCACUCCUCUCUCAUUUGUUUAUAGGUACUACUACAUAGCAUAUAAAAAAUCUGGAGAGAUACUCUGUGCUGAAAAGACAAUACACUUCCUUGGUGAAGUGUCAACGCCGUUAGAUUUUCAAAAUGUAAUAAAAGUAGUUAACUUGUCUUUGUCAAACUAGUUAACCUCAUCCCCCCACACACCUUCUCGCUCUUCACUCACUUGCCAUUGCCACUUGCAAGUUAGGAAACUGACAGCUUUAAUUUUACAUUUCUGCAUUACUUCCUCCCUUUUUAACAAAAUUUCUAAAUUAGAGUCCCACAUAGAUUAGUUGAUGAGUUAAAUGAAGUUGAAAGAGCUUGAAGAAAGUCCAAUAUUCCAUACCAAAAACUAACAUUGUUUAUAAAAAAAUCAAAUUAAAUAAUAUUCUCUCCUGUCCUUAUUAUAUAAAAAAUAAUUUAUUUUUCAAAUUCAUUGUGUAAGUAAUGUAUCUAAUCUAAAUAUACUAAUUAUUCAAUGAAUCUAAAAAAAUCAAUUGUUUCUUAUUGGAGGGAGUAAUUAAAUAAACUUUACUAAGCUUAAAACAGGAACCCAGAUAUUUUUUGUGAACAUUAUGGUUCCAGUUACGGAAUUUUCGGAAUAAUAUAUUUACUAAAGCAUUGAGUUAGCCCAGUCUCAGAUGGAUCAACAGUCAACUCUUCAAUUUGAUGUGUUAUUAUGUGGCUAACAUCUAAUCCGCACCUAUAAAAAUUCCACAGUUAUUGCCAUCAGCUGUUGCACAACAUUCAUUUGUAGCAACAGUAAUUGCCAGAAUGAUUCUUCUUUAGAUGGAUCAUAUCUACACUGUUUUACCUAAUUUUAUUUUUGAUAAACAUCCACCACAAGAUGAAUUAUGUGACUAUGAUGCAUAUGACAGUCUAUUUCACUUUAAUGACUCUUAUUCAAUACAAGUACUAUAUACUAUAAGUAAUACCGUAAUUGAUAGGAAUUAAUAAUAACCUUAAAAUUAGAAAAUGACAUAUACAUACAAUCAUUUUUUUUCUAGAAGAAUUAAUAAUAAUUAAAAGUUUUAACCAGAAUGUGUUUGAAAACCACCGUUCGGGUUUGAUUUGGAUUGGUAAAUUGAAAUCAUCUCCUCCAUUAGUAGAUGAAAUAGUAGAGAGAUCAAAAUGGGUGGGUCCAACACAAAAUGGCUGAAGAUAAAUCACUGUGGGUGGCCACCGCAUCACCUCACACAAAUGGAGACAGGAAAUAAUGUCUACAGAUAAGAUGAGAUACCGGAAGAUAAGACAACAAUAAUUUAAUACUACUAGAGACACUCAUUGAGUAAAAAGAUAACAUUGAAAUUUCCAAGACUAAGCUGGGAAUUUCUUUCAUCCCAUUCUCAAUAACAUUCAUUUCCUUCUUAAUUCUGUUUAUUACUAUUCCCAAAAUAUAAACACAUAUAAACAUAUUUUUUUUAUAUAUUAUAGUACUACCCAAGAACAUAAUUAACAUAGUAAAUAUCAUAAUAUAUUUCUAUAAACUACUCCUCUAUGGUAAUUAGAAACCCCCCCAAUAAGAUGAAAAGGGGAAAACAAAGAAAAUUGAAAACAGAACUAAAAAACUCAUGUUUCAUUGGGUAUAAAUAUAUUGCAUAAAAUUAGAGAGGGUAGGUACUAUAGUUGUUGAACAAUCACCAUCACCAUGAACAUUGUUUGUUUGAUGAAUCACAUGACAUUGCAGCUGGAAGUGUUCUCAUCACUGAAAGCAUGUGAGUAAGGAUCUGGAGGAGGAUAAGGGUAAGGAGGAUACAUGUAAUUCACCUCAGGAGGUGGCCUUGCAUACAUCAUUGGCUGCUGAAAUCUUUGAUCAUUUUCCACCAUUGCAGCACGUUGUUGGUUCAUCAUUGCAGCAGCCAUUAAUUGUUGCUGUUGUUGUUGUUGUUGCUG
This 34656-nucleotide long non-coding RNA is filed under the name Medicago truncatula (barrel medic). Its description in RNAcentral is "long non-coding RNA (MTRU_LNC002481)". The stretch from base 12658 to 12731 matches the Rfam family "MIR5272 microRNA precursor family". Lineage: Eukaryota; Viridiplantae; Streptophyta; Magnoliopsida; Fabales; Fabaceae. The record is from RNAcentral.